Cyprinus carpio (common carp) is the source of this 771-nucleotide long non-coding RNA. The record is from Ensembl. NCBI's taxonomy places the organism in Eukaryota, Metazoa, Chordata, Actinopteri, Cypriniformes, Cyprinidae.
CAUUGCUCUUCUGAAGAAGAAUAUAAAAGCAUAUUGAUUUGCAGCCUGUGUGGAAAGUCAUAUCAAGGCACCACUCCUGAUGUUGAAUAGCCGAAGGACAAGUCUAUGGUGGAAGUGAUGAAAGCAUUAGAAUAUUGUGCAAUGAGAGACAACUCGUACAAAUUGAUCUAUUUGAAAAAAAAAUAAUGUUUUUUACCAUUUACAUCAAGGCUGAUGUCAAAUAAAUAGUCUUCACAGCCUUCGCUAACACCUGUCUCCCCUCCUAACACACUCACACAAAAUUCCGGAUCCAACCCAGCCUCUGUUCAAGGUCAACAGGUCAACCGCAGACACGGCCACUGUGAACAUCUGGAAAGAACUGUGUGAAAUCUGCAAAAUACAUCAUACAGUUUUGAAACACCUUGAAAGCAGGAAGGGACGAGGAGACGCUGGCAAAUACUUUGACGGAGUUUAUGCAAGAAACAAGGCGCCAACGAACACAGGAACAUCAGGGAUGACAAUUAACAACAGACAAGGGAGAACAGAACGGGCUAGAACUAAAAAGGGCAGAUAACGAGGGGCAGACAGGUGAGGAGGAUCACUGAUAAUGAGACACAAAUGGAGACGAAUUCAAAUGACAAGGACAGGCACAGGAAGGACCAAAUAAGGACAACAGGAACUAAGACCGGGGUAAAACAAGAAAACUAAAGUCCACAACACUGCUAAAGGACCAUUUACAAACCUAUGUUUUUAAAAAAUAAACAUAACUUGUUCUUGUUCCUGUUGUCUUUG